GACGAACGCUGGCGGCGUGCUUAACACAUGCAAGUCGAACGGUAAGGCUCCAGCUUGCUGGGGUACACGAGUGGCGAACGGGUGAGUAACACGUGGGUGACCUGCCCUUCACUUCGGGAUAAGCCUGGGAAACUGGGUCUAAUACCGGAUAGGACCGCACCGUGAGGGUGUGGUGGAAAGUUUUUUCGGUGUGGGAUGGGCCCGCGGCCUAUCAGCUUGUUGGUGGGGUAAUGGCCUACCAAGGCGGCGACGGGUAGCCGGCCUGAGAGGGUGGACGGCCACAUUGGGACUGAGACACGGCCCAGACUCCUACGGGAGGCAGCAGUGGGGAAUAUUGCACAAUGGGCGGAAGCCUGAUGCAGCGACGCCGCGUGGGGGAUGACGGCCUUCGGGUUGUAAACUCCUUUCACCAUCGACGAAGGGUUUCUGACGGUAGAUGGAGAAGAAGCACCGGCUAACUACGUG
RNAcentral lists this ribosomal RNA (465 nucleotides) under uncultured bacterium. RNAcentral describes it as "partial 16S ribosomal RNA". It matches the Rfam family "Bacterial small subunit ribosomal RNA", at positions 28 to 507 of the family's 1533-position model. The record is from RNAcentral.